Non-coding RNA from Vicia faba (fava bean), 219 nucleotides. The record is from the annotation of a GenBank genome assembly. NCBI's taxonomy places the organism in Eukaryota, Viridiplantae, Streptophyta, Magnoliopsida, Fabales, Fabaceae.
AUGCCUUCUCAUACUCUCCCUGAAACCACAACAGCAUCAUUGUGUCACUCGUAUUCAACACACACAAGAAACUCAGAAGAAUACAUAAACACAGAAAAAUUUCAGAGAGAAAUCACAACCAAAACUCUGCAAACUCGCCCCUCCAACUUGUUCCAUCCCACAACCUUACCACUACUAAUAGAAAAAUUCCUUCUAAAACCUCUACUAACAAAACUUUAG